AUUUUAACAAAAUACAUUGUAUCUAUCUUAUCAAUAAUCAGAAAAGAGAUAUGAGAAUUUACAAAGCAAAACAUGGUUGGCUGGUGUUCUAACCCCGAUUUAGAACUGCUUACUCAACUGAACGACAAUGUGCAUGUCAGCUGCCUCGAGGUAAGUGAACUUUGUCUUCCCCUCAUUUGAGUAAAGCAGACGGUGCCUUCCUUGUUUUGAAAUAGAAUAGCACUGGGCAUUCCUUCUUUGCCCAUUAGAGUCUUGGAAACAGGCACAUAAUUCUGAUUUAGUUUAAGGAUUUCACAAACAGUGGUGAAAUCAGAGUUUAUUGUAACUGGGUGUAACUACCCUAUUUAAAAUGUCAAAC
Molecule: long non-coding RNA, 358 nt
Filed under: Pan troglodytes (chimpanzee)
Lineage: Eukaryota; Metazoa; Chordata; Mammalia; Primates; Hominidae
Description: lncRNA (ENSPTRG00000053197.1)
Source: RNAcentral